Molecule: unclassified non-coding RNA, 371 nt
Filed under: plant metagenome
Description: partial contains small subunit ribosomal RNA and internal transcribed spacer 1
Source: RNAcentral
AAGUCGUAACAAGGUUUCCUUCCCCCUACGAAGCCUUCUGCACCGACUCUAAAGGAUUGCACAGUUUGCCCCUGGCAAAGCGAUGCCACUACAAUGCUGAGACUCUUGAAUCAGCAGCCUUCUAGGCUCACAGAUCAAAUUGUGGUAACCAUUUAAUGGGCAAGAUAUGACCGGUCUUAACUGGAGCCAGUUAAGAAUCAACGUUCCGUAGGUGAACCUGCGGAAGGAUCAUUAUCGGGAGUGCCUUCGUGGCUUAACCUGCAACCCCAAUGUUUUAAUUACCCCUUGUUUCUUUGGCGGGCUCGCCCGUCAGAAGCAUUCUCAAACCCGUUAUAAACGUGUCUUCUGAUUAAUGAUAAAAUAAAGCAAAA